Callithrix jacchus (white-tufted-ear marmoset) is the source of this 1131-nucleotide long non-coding RNA. RefSeq lists it as uncharacterized. Lineage: Eukaryota; Metazoa; Chordata; Mammalia; Primates; Cebidae. The record is from RefSeq and is a predicted model, not a curated record.
CGGCGGGGCGGGGCGCGCCCCGCGCCGAGCCGAGCGGGCCAACCCGCUAUUGCUGCCCGCGGAAUGGGAGAGAUUUGUUUGUUUGUUAAUAAUCUUUCCUUCUCUCAACUCCUCCUCCCUCACCCAAAAAUAGAAAGAAAGUCGGAAGGCCAAGUCUCAAAAAACGCCCCCGCGAGAAAACAAGUGUGUGUUUCGGCGCCCUGAAACGUAGAGUUGGAAGAGUCGCCUGAAUGUAGACUAUUUAGUGUCCAAGGAAUUGGGGCCAGAGUCUCGCUGCCUGUGUGGAAGAUGAAAAAGAGUGAAGAAAGAAGCUACCUAGGAAGAGGCAUUGAAAGGGCUGAUCAAGUGCCACUAAAUAUGCUGCCUUCACAGUUUUAUCCAGGGUUCUCAGGUGUAUGGUGGCAAGACAGCUAAUAACCCUGCGCCAUGACUUUUCUCAUCUUUGAAAUAGCAAUCAUGAUAACUACCUUCCCAAAUUGAUGUGAAUCUCACAUGAAAUAAUGAGGACCUCAAGAGAAAUUUCUUUUGACAAUAUUUAUUCCAAGAAUGAGCGAAAUUCCCAGGACACUUUUUUUACAUCACAUGGAUACUGGGUAUUGGAUAACAAAGUUUCUGUUUUCACACUGACUGCUGGAGAAAUUGAGACCCAAAUGUGGAGCUCACCUGUUGAGUAGGUCAUCACGGAUUUCACACAUGUAGAAGAGAUGUCAAUGGAGAAACCCUUGUUAAAGAGCCUGCAGUGUGUGAGGUGAGAGGUGAGGAAUUGCCUGCUUGACCCUUCCUUAGGUAGCUCCUGUGGUUCCUCCAGGGAAUUCUAGAGACACUUUGUAGAAAUGGUGGAAACCUUGGUCCUGGCUCUGCUACUCUGUGCAGGGUUAAGCAAAUCUCUUUUCUCAACCUUAAAAACAAUGAACUUGGCUGUCAGGGGUAAUACACAGAAACCAAAAAGCUUUAUAAUGCAAGCAGUAGUCAAGACAAUUAAAAGAAAUGUCCAUGACUAUGCCAUUUCAAUGUUCUGUUGUUGUAUUAGGCCAAUAAUUUUUUAUGUUUCCUUAGAAAAAUUUGUUUUAUGAUGUUAGAUAAAAGAAUCUAGGAUUGAUUAACAAUUAGAACAAUUGUGUGUCAUUUGCA